This 301-nucleotide unclassified non-coding RNA is filed under the name Hevea brasiliensis (rubber tree). The record is from RNAcentral. Lineage: Eukaryota; Viridiplantae; Streptophyta; Magnoliopsida; Malpighiales; Euphorbiaceae.
UGGAUAUAAAGAUACGCAUAGUUUUGACCUAGAUAUGGCAAGUAUUCCUGGCUAAUGAUAAACAUAGGUAAUACAGAGGUUGGACAUUAAGGUUAGAAAAUAUAGACUAAAUGGGAAGACAAGACAGAGUGAUCUGAGAAGGGUAGUCGAUCAGGAAGGAAAUUAGCAGUUUCAGGUUUCAUGCCAAGGAGCUAAAGAAUUCUAAGUACCUAAGGUUUUUUAGAUCCAGUGGAGUAGGUAUAUAUAAAUGAUUGGGCAGUGGUGAUUGCAAGAAAUGUUCAAUUUGUUUGCCUGUUCUGAA